Molecule: ribosomal RNA, 354 nt
Filed under: Grammatophora oceanica
Lineage: Eukaryota; Bacillariophyta; Fragilariophyceae; Rhabdonematales; Grammatophoraceae
Description: partial Bacterial large subunit ribosomal RNA
Rfam family: Bacterial large subunit ribosomal RNA
Source: RNAcentral
GUACCGUGAGGGAAAGGUGAAAAGAACCCCGGGAGGGGAGUGAAAAGAACAUGAAACCAUAAACUUAUAAUCAGUAGGAGGACGACUUGAACGUCUAACUGCGUGCCUGUUGAAGAAUGAGCCGGCGACUUAUAAUUAACGGCAGGUUAAAGUAGAGAAUACUGGAGCCAUAGUGAAAGCGAGCUUGAAUAGGGCGUUUGUCCUUAAUUAUAGACCCGAACCCGGAUGAUCUAACCAUGAUCAGGUUGAAACUUAGGUAAUACUAUGUGGAGGACCGAACUGACUGAUGUUGAAAAAUCAGCGGAUGAAUUGUGGUUAGGGGUGAAAUGCCAAUCGAAUUCGGAGCUAGCUAGU